UUCAAAUUUAUUAAUGCGAAAAUUCAGAUGAACGAUUAAAUGAAUACUGGGCAUAUAAUGUACUUCACUGUACCAUUUGCGAAUGCGCGCUUUAAUCACAACAAAAACACAAAACAGACGAAAUGUUCGAUGGUUCGUUUCCAGUAGCCGAUAGUUAUUUGUAAUAUAUUGCGCAGUUUUGCCCAGAUUAACAAAAUCGGUACCUGUUAUUAUGACGUCGAAUAGAGCAGAACUCUAGUAAACGUACGAAGGAGUUCGGAAGAAGGUAAUCUACCUAAAGAUCAUCCUGCUGGAAUCGCUUGCAACGUUAAUAUACCCAUACUAUAAACUUCUGAAACUUAUUAGAACCGCACUUAAAGUCGUUGAAGUUCGACGGGCGAGUGUUUUUCUUGCUGUUCCUGUAGCGGCAAAUGGCUAUAGAGGCUUCACUCGCCGGCCAUGGGACCCUCAAGGAGUGGCGGCAUUUUUUCGGGGCCGUUCCACAAUCAUCUUUUAAACAAGUUAACCAAACAAACCAUCUUAUCGGGGAAUGGAGGAGGUACUGAGAAAAAGCUGAUUAUUAGUCAAUCAUGAAUAUGAACAUUAAAGAUUAUUUAGUGAUCUUGUUCAGUACUGAAAUAUGCGCUUCGGAUUUGGCGAGGUGUAGCUAGCAAGGGAAGAACAUUCUCAAGAGUUCUACACUAUUGAAGAUUUUCCCUAUUGGAAAAUAUGGUGUGACUGUGUCAAGAAAUUCUAAUACUAAUUUUGGAAGACAUCGGACAACAUGAGAGAACGAUGAAUAUGGAUCCUUAUCCUCAAUCCGUAGCAUCCUUCAAAGCAGAAUAAGAUCGCUUAAAAUUAUCGUCUAUGGAGAUAAAAUGGGAAAAGACAUUCAGGCCUCUUGUUCAACGCUACUCUCAGAAGAAGCUGAUCUACACUUCUCGGAUUUAGCACCAACACUUCAUUGCCCUCCAAGCUGCCAUUUCGACGUACGUUUGCGUCGCUGCCAAGAAACUCACCGAUUCACUAGCUCAAAAACUUAUAUUUGAUAAGUGGAAAAUUGUUCAAGAAAUGGAAUUCUUCCUUUAAUGGCAUCCUGUUGAUCAAUACCGAUGUAAUGAGUCAA
Uranotaenia lowii is the source of this 1105-nucleotide long non-coding RNA. RefSeq lists it as uncharacterized. The transcript has 4 exons. NCBI's taxonomy places the organism in Eukaryota, Metazoa, Arthropoda, Insecta, Diptera, Culicidae. The record is from RefSeq and is a predicted model, not a curated record.